UUCCUACGGGGGGCAGCAGUGGGGAAUAUUGCACAAUGGGGGAAACCCUGAUGCAGCGACGCCGCGUGAGUGAAGAAGUAUUUCGGUAUGUAAAGCUCUAUCAGCAGGGAAGAAAAAAGACGGUACCUGACUAAGAAGCCCCGGCCAACUACGUGCCAGCAGCCGCGGUAAUACGUAGGGGGCAAGCGUUAUCCGGAUUCACUGGGUGUAAAGGGAGCGUAGACGGCGAGACAAGUCUGGAGUGAAAGGCCGGGGCCCAACCCCGGGACUGCUCUGGAAACUGCCUGGCUGGAGUACAGGAGAGG
Molecule: ribosomal RNA, 305 nt
Filed under: uncultured bacterium
Lineage: Bacteria
Description: bacterial SSU rRNA
Rfam family: Bacterial small subunit ribosomal RNA
Source: RNAcentral